AGGAUGAACGCUGGCGGUAUGCUUAACACAUGCAAGUCGAACGGUCUCUUCGGAGAUAGUGGCGGACGGGUGAGUAACGCGUGAGAACAUGCCUUUAGAUUGGGGACAACAGUUGGAAACGACUGCUAAUACCGAAUGUGCCUUAGGGUGAAAGAUUUAUUGUCUAGAGAUUGGCUCGCGUCAGAUUAGCUAGUUGGAGUGGUAACGGCACACCAAGGCGACGAUCUGUACUUGGUCUGAGAGGAUGACCAGGCACACUGGAACUGAGACACGGUCCAGACUCCUACGGGAGGCAGCAGUGGGGAAUUUUCCGCAAUGGGCGAAAGCCUGACGGAGCAAUACCGCGUGAGGGAGGACGGCUUUUGGGUUGUAAACCUCUUUUAUCAGGGAAGAAUCGAUGACGGUACCUGAUGAAUCAGCAUCGGCUAACUCCGUGCCAGCAGCCGCGGUAAUACGGAGGAUGCAAGCGUUAUCCGGAAUUAUUGGGCGUAAAGCGUCCGUAGGUGGUUUAUCAAGUCUGCUGUCAAAGCGUGCGGCUUAACCGCAUAAGGGCAGUGGAAACUGAUGAACUAGAGUGCGAUAGGGGUAACAGGAAUUCCCAGUGUAGCGGUGAAAUGCGUAGAUAUUGGGAAGAACACCAGCGGCGAAAGCGUGUUACUGGGUCUGCACUGACACUGAGGGACGAAAGCUAGGGGAGCGAAAGGGAUUAGAUACCCCUGUAGUCCUAGCCGUAAACGAUGACAACUAGGCGUGGUUCGUAUCGACCCGAGCCGUGCCGUAGCCAACGCGUUAAGUUGUCCGCCUGGGGAGUACGCACGCAAGUGUGAAACUCAAAGGAAUUGACGGGGGCCCGCACAAGCGGUGGAGUAUGUGGUUUAAUUCGAUGCAACGCGAAGAACCUUACCAAGGCUUGACAUCCUCGGAACCCUGAUGAAAGUUAGGGGUGCCUUCGGGAGCCGAGAGACAGGUGGUGCAUGGCUGUCGUCAGCUCGUGUCGUGAGAUGUUGGGUUAAGUCCCGCAACGAGCGCAACCCACGUUUUUAGUUGCCAGCAUUCAGUUGGGCACUCUAGAGAGACUGCCGGUGACAAACCGGAGGAAGGUGUGGAUGACGUCAAGUCAGCAUGCCCCAUACGCCUUGGGCUACACACGUACUACAAUGCGUCGGACAAAGAGCAGCCAGCCAGCGAUGGUGAGCCAAUCUCAUAAACCGGCGCUCAGUUCAGAUUGCAGGCUGCAACUCGCCUGCAUGAAGGCGGAAUCGCUAGUAAUCGCAGGUCAGCAUACUGCGGUGAAUACGUUCCCGGGCCUUGUACACACCGCCCGUCACACCAUGGGAGUUGGUCACGCCCGAAGUCGUUACUCUAACUGCUUGCAGAGGAGGACGCCGAAGGUGGGGCUGAUGA
This 1404-nucleotide ribosomal RNA is filed under the name Leptolyngbya boryana. Its description in RNAcentral is "bacterial SSU rRNA". It matches the Rfam family "Bacterial small subunit ribosomal RNA". RNAcentral also lists the same sequence under 1 other name. Lineage: Bacteria; Bacillati; Cyanobacteriota; Cyanophyceae; Leptolyngbyales; Leptolyngbyaceae. The record is from RNAcentral.